This is a non-coding RNA of Aegilops tauschii subsp. strangulata, 2249 nucleotides long. The record is from RefSeq and is a predicted model, not a curated record. NCBI's taxonomy places the organism in Eukaryota, Viridiplantae, Streptophyta, Magnoliopsida, Poales, Poaceae.
UUGGCGAAAAAAUCUAGAUUCACUACACCAUAACACACUUGAUUGGGGGCAGUUAACUGCCGGGAGAAUUACCAAUAUAAAGGCAAACAAACUGCCGGGGAUUAUUUAACUGCGGCACAAGUCCAUCCAGGCAGAAGAACUGCCGGUAGAAGUUGAGCAACAAGGACACAUUUACUGCCGGCGUUGAUAUCCACCAUUUAAGUCACUUUACCUGCCAGGAGAACUCAAUCUGGGCCCAUUAUCCGCCGUGAACUGUUCAUGGCGCGAAAACGAAAUAAUUGGCCCAACAGCGCGCUACCACGAUAAGCGCGCGAGAGCCGAAACUUAGCCGCAAAAAAAUAGAAAAAAGAAAAAAGAAAGAAACUUAGCCGCCGUCCCGACCAGAUCUAGCCCAAAUCGCCUCCUGCUCCGACCCUAGCCGCCGCCGCCGACCUCCCUCCGCCGCCCGACCCCAGCAGCCCUCGACCACCCAUCGCACCAGCCUUCCUCCCGGACCAAUGCUGCGGCCGAGCAACCUCCUCCGCCGCCGUCAAGUACCCUCCUCCGCAGAUCUCAUCCACCCUCCGCCACAUCCCUAGCGCCGCCCAAAUGUCGGCGCUCCCUCAAUGCUUUCUUCCUGGGCAACAGCGUCUCCUUGCAUCUCUCCUGAACUGUCGAGAUGAGGCGUGCAGCGGGAUAGGUUUUGGCGGCGCCGGCCCCUCCUGGUCGUCCUACUCCGGUGCGUGCUCCUCCGCCCCAGGUCACGUCGUGCUCUCCAGCCCGUCGUCGUGCGUGCUCCUCCGUCUCCCCCUCUUGUACUUCGAGCCUGAGAAUCACAAGUCAAUAGAUGUUGGUGUCUCAGAGCGACAGAGCACUCGGAUGGAUGAAUGUAUCUGGAACCGUCAGUCUCAGCCAGUGCAGACCACUCUAGCAACAGUUGACGCUUUGUUUUACUUGAUACAGUAGACACUGCAGGUUGGCUGCGUCCGUGCCGCUGCUUUGGCCUAAGAUGGAUUCAAUUAAUUGAGGAAAAAUAAGGGCAACAUCUAGGUGUCAAAGUAAUGAUAUACAGAUGAUAUCAGAGGGUCUUCCUCCUCUUUGAGCAAUACCAUCUUAGGUACAUGCAAAAGUAUAUACUUUGUUGCACGUAUCAGAUGUCCUCACAUAAAAAAGUCUUUACUUUUCCAUGCGAGCUAAGCAACAUAUGAAAUAGAAACACCUGUAUAUGUAUGUAGUUCUGUUCAUUUUUAACAUCCCGCCAUACAGGUAAUUAUAGUUUGUAGAUUGUAUGCUAUACUGACGUGCCUUUAGUUUGUCCUGGAAGAAAGGUUUCGAUGUUGUUUGAUGUAUGUCGUUUAUGAUCCCUUGAACAUACACAAUUUUAUUUUCUCAUCUAAUAGCUAAGAAAGAAGAUGCUUGAGAACUAUGGCUUAUGUACUCUUCAGAGGUACAUCGAGUACACAAUUCUGCUCCUUAGUUGCAUCUUAUUGUUACAUUACAGUCAGUUGUAGGAGUUGCAUAAUUUAUUUUGAAUAAUCAAUCUUGAUGUAUACCCCAUCAGAUGAAAGCAUACAAGCAAUGAGUGUAUCACCGAGAGGUGCUUCUUUCCUUUCUGCUCAUAUCUGUUUAUUAGUAGGAUUCUGAGAAGUAUAUAACAAGAUUCAUAGGAUGCAUCCUUAAAAAGUUCAAAAUUUAAUUGGAAAUCCAUCAAAUCAGAUCCAGUUUAGAUAUAUUUGUGUGUUUACUUUUUUAAAUUAAUAAUGUGCCGGUUAUGGUCACAUGGUCAACUUGAUUUGGAUAAAGGGAGAAACAUUAAUGAAGAAUGUGGUUAGAAGCAUGUUAGUUUUAGUAUUACAAAUCAUCAACCGUUUGUCUGCAGGCGCUUCCCUGUAGAAAAAUGAUCUGUGUUCAUUGGACCACCCUGGUUCGGAUUCCUCGCUACGCCACUACAUGAACCUGUGUUGUUUGUGCGAAAGGAAACAUCUCUCGUAAUGUUUAUACAUAGCUUGAAUUGUAAUGGAAAGUAUCAAUAUUUGUGAAUACGUACUCAACUGCAAUAAGAUCGGUACAGAUACACAUGGGGAGUUUGAAAACAUGCCAGUAGAAAUACAUGUCAGCUGCCUUAUGUAGUUGUAAGCUACUUUGUUGUUUGCAAAAUGAUUAUUAUGAAAGUAUGUAUUUGCUGUCUGAGCCUAUGUCCAUCUUUUGUGUGCUACAAUAUAGCUCAUUUAUCAAAGUUAUUAGCUCAUAGCAGUUGUACCAUCUUAUCU